Asparagus officinalis (garden asparagus) is the source of this 496-nucleotide long non-coding RNA. RefSeq lists it as uncharacterized. The record is from RefSeq and is a predicted model, not a curated record. NCBI's taxonomy places the organism in Eukaryota, Viridiplantae, Streptophyta, Magnoliopsida, Asparagales, Asparagaceae. The transcript is spliced from 3 exons.
GUUUUGCUAAAGGCAUUAUAUUGGUUGCUUUGAUUUGUUAUAUUUAGUUUGACAUGAAAUUAUGCUUGUGCAGAAUAAGUUUGAAUUUGACAUGUCGCUCCCUUGGGUCCAGAGAUAUGUAAUUACAACAUGUCAGAUCGUAUAUUGUAAUUUUCGCUAUAAGUUAAAGAAACAUUUUGAGCAGUUUUUAACAAUUGAGGAGGCAAUUCAAAACAAACAUGAAGCUGUCAAGACUCAGGAAGAAUGAGAGUUUCUUUGCACUCAUUUUUCUAGUGAAAAGUUUAAGGUACAUAUCACCACAAAGCUGGGUCAAAAUCAUUUGUCACACCAAGAGCAAAUUGCAACACAGACUGGAGAGAUGCAAUGUGCAAUUGAUCGUUUUGAAACAGAGUAUAGAAGUACAAAAAAAGGAUGGGACUUGGGAGCAAAGGAAAAAUGGGAUCAAAUGAUAAAGAUGCGAGCAGAUACCACUCAACCUGAUGGAACUCGAAAAAUG